Molecule: transfer RNA, 54 nt
Filed under: Equus caballus (horse)
Lineage: Eukaryota; Metazoa; Chordata; Mammalia; Perissodactyla; Equidae
Rfam family: tRNA
About the family: Transfer RNA (tRNA) molecules are approximately 80 nucleotides in length. Their secondary structure includes four short double-helical elements and three loops (D, anti-codon, and T loops).
Source: Rfam by way of RNAcentral
UUAGUAAAAAUUACAUAACUUUGUCAAAGUUAAAUUAUAGGUUAAAUUCCUGUA